UACGGGGGGAGCAAGCGUUGUUCGGAUUUACUGGGCGUAAAGGGCGCGUAGGCGGUCAGCACAAGUCAGUUGUGAAAUCUCCGGGCUUAACUCGGAACGGCCAAGUGAAACUGUCAAGCUAGAGUGCAGAAGGGGCAAUCGGAAUUCUUGGUGUAGCGGUGAAAUGCGUAGAUAUCAAGAGGAACACCUGAGGUGAAGACGGGUUGCUGGGCUGACACUGACGCUGAGGCGCGAAAGCCAGGGGAGCAAACGGG
This 254-nucleotide ribosomal RNA is filed under the name uncultured bacterium. RNAcentral's name for it is "partial 16S ribosomal RNA". It matches the Rfam family "Bacterial small subunit ribosomal RNA", at positions 524 to 776 of the family's 1533-position model. The record is from RNAcentral.